RNAcentral lists this long non-coding RNA (867 nucleotides) under Marmota monax (woodchuck). Lineage: Eukaryota; Metazoa; Chordata; Mammalia; Rodentia; Sciuridae. The record is from RNAcentral.
CUGGGAGUGAGUUGGAGGGCGUGGCACAGGGUCCCGCGCAGCCCAGGGCGAGGCCCGUCCCGCUGUGCAGCGCCCGCCUGCCCCUCCCCACAGCCCGCCACUCAUUAAUCUUGAAGAGUUUUCUGCUGAGUGCUCUUCCAGGACUUUCAAACCGCUCACUAAUUGCAAUUAAUCACUUACGAAGCAGAGGUCAGGAACAAUGGGCUGGAGGCGGGAGAGCUGUCAGGGGGUGCGUGGGCGUGGGCCCUGGUGCCCGGUGCGGGCUGCCCACUCCCACCCAGGUGGCUGCCAGGUCCCUUGCUUGUAGGGAGGAGGCUGCUGAGAGUGGGAAGGUGGUACCUGAUCAGGGGAAGGUGCCCCCAGGGCAGAUGCCCCCGAGGAGUCCACACUGACCCAGAGGAGGCCGGGGUCCAGCUGGAGCCCCAACGGAUGUACCUGGAGGCCAGCAGGCACUGGAGUCAGGCCAGCGGGCGAGUGCGGCCUGUGGACAUGGCCUGGCCUGUGCGUUUCUUGCGCAGCGUGACCUCAGGAUUGUGUUCUGUGUUAGGUGCCCACAUUUGAGAGCCCGACUCCACAAAUCUGGACUCUGGUUCUCUUUGGGAACACAAAGGUACUGCUGCGUGCGGCACCAGGCAGCUGUGGCCUGGAUGUGCAGGGCCCAGGCGCUGGGUUCUGCAAGACCCCUGGCCGCCCCAGGACGCCUGGCUCAGGGCUGGCUCCCCGGUGUCUCCUCCACAGUCACCCAGGCAGGCCACAAAGUGCCCCUGGAGGCUCUGAGCUCAGGAGGCUGUGAAGACAGGGGACAGGGCUGGGGGUGGCGGCCACAGUGUGACCCCAGCCACUCGGGAGGUCGACACGGGAGCAGUG